CAUGAAGUGUUUUUAUCAUCUUAAGAUUUUGAUUGAACUACUAGGAAUGAAGACUUCCUUAAUCUUUCUUAUACUCGACUACACCUGCAUAGGACUUGUGCCCGUAGAGUGAAAGAAAAACGUCAAUAUUUCAUUUGAUUUAGGAAAAUAUAUUUGCCAAAAUCAUUUGGGUUUAAUACAUGGAAGUUAUUUAAGCAAUGGAGCAGCCACCUCAUGUGAGGCCUUCUACUCUUGCGUAAGUUGAAUUGCAUUUUAAUAAUAUUAUGGAGGUUUAUUUUGAGAAUUAGAUUAAAAAUUUCAUUGAAGAUAAGUUCUUUUAAAGAACUGUUUAAAACUAUUAGAAAUGGAAAAACCAACAAGGACCAUUGAUAAUUGUAAAACAAUCUGUUCUGUUUAAUUGUUAAAACAAAACUUGUAAUCAUAUUUAUUGGAACACUAGCUAGAAAACUUUCCAAAUUAAAGUGGUAGAACAAUGUUCAGUUGAUAAUAAAACACAAACCAGCAGCUGACCAUCAUGUCUAGAGUUGACAAAAGGUCCCACAAUUUGUCCAACUUGAUUAUUAAUCUUAAUCCCAGCAAAGCUUUAUACUGUAAAUUCAGAAAUUUUCUUUUGGUCACUGAAUAUUAUUUUAGAUAUAUUUGAAAUUAAGUACUUUUUAAUUGAGUUUACUGCUGCUGGUCAUUUACAAGACAGCAAUACAAAAUCCAACAGAUUCAGAUUCACCAGAUAGUUUGUGUAAACCUCCAGCUCUUAGUUACCAGUUUACCGAGAUGAAUCUCUUUCAACACAGCAAUUAGAAAAUUUAAGAGUAAAAUAAAAAAAAAAAAGACUGGACAGCUAGAAGUAGAAGUAACAUUUGGGGUAGUGAGGUGGUAUAAGUUAUAUAUAAGUUAAGAAAAGAGGCUGGCAAAUUGGAACUUUAGGGUUGAUGCUUUGAAUAAUGUUAUUCAUUUGUCUGAUAUUUACCAUUAUGUACAUAUGUGUUGUUAAAGUCUAUAAAAUUAUGCCUCAUGUCUUGAACUUCUAUUACACUCUGAAAUGCAGCAGAUGCACCAUUUUGCCUUGAGUCCAAAAAAUGGAAAAGUGGGAUCGGGCUCCCCAUUCAAUACAUACUAAAUAAAGGUUGACGAGCUAUGCAAACUAAGCCACUGUUAAAGUUUUUUUGACAG
Molecule: long non-coding RNA, 1170 nt
Filed under: Mytilus galloprovincialis (Mediterranean mussel)
Lineage: Eukaryota; Metazoa; Mollusca; Bivalvia; Mytilida; Mytilidae
Source: RNAcentral